This 275-nucleotide unclassified non-coding RNA is filed under the name Hevea brasiliensis (rubber tree). Lineage: Eukaryota; Viridiplantae; Streptophyta; Magnoliopsida; Malpighiales; Euphorbiaceae. The record is from RNAcentral.
UUUGGGGUGCUUGGUUUUUCUUUACGUUUUACUUUAAGCCUGUUUUGAAGGAGAAAUCUAAGUGCAAAGUUGUUCGAGAUAGUAAUGGGGUGUCGGGAUUUGAUAAGUCUGAUCUCCAGCUUGAUGUGUUUUUGGCUCAGCAUGAUAUGGAGAAUAUAUACAUGUGGGUUUUCAAGGAGAGGUCUGAAAAUGCGUUGGGGGAGAUGCAGUUGAGGAGUUAUAUGAAUGGACAUUCGAAGCAGGGAGAGCAUUCAUUUCCAUUUAGUGUUGACAAG